RNAcentral lists this ribosomal RNA (374 nucleotides) under uncultured organism. Its description in RNAcentral is "partial 16S ribosomal RNA". It matches the Rfam family "Bacterial small subunit ribosomal RNA", at positions 527 to 896 of the family's 1533-position model. The record is from RNAcentral.
GUAGGUGGCAAGCGUUGUCCGGAAUUAUUGGGCGUAAAGCGCGCGCAGGCGGUUCUUUAAGUCUGAUGUGAAAGCCCACGGCUCAACCGUGGAGGGUCAUUGGAAACUGGAGAACUUGAGUACAGAAAAGGAAAGCGGAAUUCCACGUGUAGCGGUGAAAUGCGUAGAGAUGUGGAGGAACACCAGUGGCGAAGGCGGCUUCCUGGUCUGUAACUGACGCUGAGGCGCGAAAGCGUGGGGAGCAAACAGGGAUUAGAUACCCUGGUAGUCCACGCCGUAAACGAUGAGUGCUAAGUGUUAGGGGGGUUUCCGCCCCCUUAGUGCUGCAGCUAACGCAUUAAGCACUCCGCCUGGGGAGUACGGCCGCAAGGCUG